This 202-nucleotide unclassified non-coding RNA is filed under the name Hevea brasiliensis (rubber tree). The record is from RNAcentral. Lineage: Eukaryota; Viridiplantae; Streptophyta; Magnoliopsida; Malpighiales; Euphorbiaceae.
CAAGCCUCACUCAACAUACUUACUGAGUCAGCUGUUAUUACAAAAGCAUCAGCCCACGCUAGAUGCCCGAGAUGCGGAUUCAGUCCUUCACUAUCCCAAAUGUAGACUUUAGGAUGGGCACUGAAUUCUUUCACCAAGAUUUCGGAUACCUAACAUCAUAUUAGGAGAUAUGAUUAUCAAAUCCAAAAUAAAUCAAUUCAAG